Molecule: long non-coding RNA, 221 nt
Filed under: Elaeis guineensis (African oil palm)
Lineage: Eukaryota; Viridiplantae; Streptophyta; Magnoliopsida; Arecales; Arecaceae
Description: long non-coding RNA (EGUI_LNC013787)
Source: RNAcentral
GCAGCCCUAGCUAUGUCGAUUAAUAAAACUCGAUUUUGACGGUCACAAACGAUUACAUGAUGAUCUGAUAGAUAGAGAUCAUUGAUGGGUUUGAAAACUUAUAAUAAUAAUCUUGAUAAUAUUUAUAGCAUACUAUCAAAAUUUUACUUCAAUUGAACAUCAUUAUCAUGGUCAAUUUAGUAUGAGAUGAUUUGGACUGUUAAAUGAAAAAUGAGUGAUCA